Nicotiana tabacum (common tobacco) is the source of this 869-nucleotide non-coding RNA. NCBI's taxonomy places the organism in Eukaryota, Viridiplantae, Streptophyta, Magnoliopsida, Solanales, Solanaceae. The record is from RefSeq and is a predicted model, not a curated record.
CCUCUCCUAUAAAGGAGAGGUCUUUCCACACACUCUACACCUUUUUACACACUUUAAAAGAGACACAUAUCUUUGAGAAAAAAUCAGCAACUGAAUACUUAUAAGUAAGCUGAAAUUUCAGAGCUUUGUGAGUAUUUUCGAGUGUAAAAUCUUUCACAAAAAUAUAAAGAUUUUUUGGGUAAUUUGUGGAAUCACUAGCUUCUAGUUUCAAGUGUCUUUGCUGGAUGUUUUCUGAGUCAUUUUCUUGGAUUACAAGCUGUUGUUUGCUGCUAUCAUUGUUGCUGAAAUUUUAGCCCCUCGAUUGCUGAUACUUUUUCUUUCUGCUAUCCAGGGCGAGGAUAAGACUGCUAUAAAGUGCAACGGGAGGGAGGCAAUACUAAUUUUAACCUAAGCACAUAUGAAGGAGAAUUAAGUUCGAAUGCUGAUAAUGGAGGUAGUAUAAAUAAGGCUUUACCACAAAUUUUGUUUAUAAUUGUUUACCAUUUUUAGUUCUGUAAUUAUCAUGUUUAACGAAUACGUUGGUUUUCCUUGAAGUCUGAUCCAAGCUAACUAAUUUAAGACUCAAAUGCAUAAAAUGAGUUUGAGUUCAUCUAAUCCAAAAGCUUACAAGUAAAUGAAUAUCAAAUUAGCUACUUGAUACAAUCGGUAAAUAAUAUAGGGAAUAAUCGAUACAUCAAUUUAUAAGUUAUACUAAACAAUAUGCAUGCUUUACCUUUUGUCAUACUGGCACACAAAACAGAGACAUGUAUUUCGCAGAUGGUCAAUUAAGGUUGCAAAUGAGUUUGGUUUACCUUUAUAUCUGCGGAAUUCUAUGAAGUCUAUGUACUCUCUUAAUCAAUUAAAUAAGGACAAAUUAUUGUUACCUUUUU